GUGGCCUGACCUGGCAUGUGGAAUCCCAGGAGUUUGAGCCUAGAGCCCAAAACUCCAGUUUCAGCUUUGGUGAGGUAUUCCAGGAGAAAAGGCAACCUUUAGGUGCUAAUCACUUGCAGCUAGUCAAUUCUGUAUGGAGAAGAAAGAUGGAAUUGGCUCUCUGCAGGUGCUGGAACUACAUUUAUUCCAGGGACUUCUUAUCUUUCCACUUUGGCCAGCACCAACUGCUUUUUACCAUCACUUGGUGAGGCAGAGAAAUGAAAAUCUGGACUGUAGGAACCUUAAAGUCUGACCUUGAUUCCUCCUCCUCAAACUCGACUAAAGGAGCAUGUCUGCUGGCCUGAGAACCUUCUCUGAAGAACACUUUCCUUAUCGUGCCAUCCUUUGGAGCCUUUAUGGUAUGCUGCAGAGACACAAGCCAGACAAACAAUGGUGGCAAUACUAAUGAGGACUGGGCUGCAAGAAUAUACAGCUGAAUUUUUAUUCUUGUUUUUUUGCUGUGCUGGGGAUUGAACCCAGAGCCUUACAUAUGUUAGGAAACUGCCCUACUGGUGACCUACAGAAGAAUUUUUAUGACUUAAGUAUGAAAGACUCUCCUGUAUUCAGGACUAUAAAGGAGACUGCUAGUACCUUACCAUUUGAAGUUAUAUCAGUCUAUGCUAAGGUUUGAAUGUUGUGGCCCCGCAACAUUCCUGUUGAAAUCUGCACCACAACAGUUUGCAGUAUUUGGGUCUCUGGUAGUCAGUUAGGUCAUGAAGGUUCUGCACUCUCAAAUAGAAUUAGUGCCUUUAUAAAAAAGGCCCCAAAGAAGUCCCGUGCCUCAUCUAUCAUGUAAGCACACAGUGAGAAGAUGGCCCUUUUAUGAAACCAGGAAGGAGACACAAACUCCAGGAUUUUCCAGCCACCAGAACUAAGAGAGUAAAAUUCUAUCAUUUAUAAGCUACCCUGUCUAUGGUAUUCUGUUAUAGCAGUCCAAAUGGGCCUCAACUCUGAAUAAAUCCUGGAUUCAACAUUAAGCCACGUUAUUUUUCACCAAUACCAGUCUUUCAAAUUUUACUUCAACACAGAUACAAUGAGGACUACUAGAGCAUCAUUAUUUCAUGACAAAACUGUCUGCUGUUAAAAUUAAAAACUUCAUUUUUAGAUAAUGCUUGGUGAGUGAUUCAUUUUAAUCCAUAAAAACACAGUUUGAGCUGGGCACAGUGGUAUGCACCUGUAGUUCCAGCACUUACGAGGUCUAAGGUGGGAGGAUCACUUGAGUUGAGGAGUUUGAGACCAGCUUGG
Castor canadensis (American beaver) is the source of this 1284-nucleotide non-coding RNA. NCBI's taxonomy places the organism in Eukaryota, Metazoa, Chordata, Mammalia, Rodentia, Castoridae. The record is from RefSeq and is a predicted model, not a curated record.